UAGGGAAUAUUGGACAAUGGGGGCAACCCUGAUCCAGCCAUGCCGCGUGAGUGAAGAAGGCCCUCGGGUUGUAAAGCUCUUUUGUCCGGAAAGAAAAGCUUCGGGUUAAUACCCCGGGGUUCUGACGGUACCGGAAGAAUAAGCACCGGCUAACUUCGUGCCAGCAGCCGCGGUAAUACGAAGGGUGCAAGCGUUACUCGGAAUUACUGGGCGUAAAGCGUGCGUAGGUGGUUGUUUAAGUCUGAUAUGAAAGCCCUGGGCUCAACCUGGGAAUGGCAUUGGAAACUGGGCAGCUAGAGUGCGGUAGAGGGUAGUGGAAUUCCCGGUGUAGCAGUGAAAUGCGUAGAGAUCGGGAGGAACAUCUGUGGCGAAGGCGACUGCCUGGACCAGCACUGACACUGAGGCACGAAAGCGUGGGGAGCAAACA
Molecule: ribosomal RNA, 427 nt
Filed under: uncultured bacterium
Lineage: Bacteria
Description: bacterial SSU rRNA
Rfam family: Bacterial small subunit ribosomal RNA
Source: RNAcentral